GGCAAUCCGGCAGGGUUCCCUUCCGCAGGGUGGAAGCUUUGUUUUUUCGCUCUUUGGGUCCACACGGCCUUUAUGAGCUGUAACACUUACCGCAAAGGUCUGCGGCUUCACUCCUGAAGCCAGUGAGACCACGAGCCCACCGGGAGGCAGGAACAACUCCAGACGCGCUGCCUUAAGACCUGUAACACUCACGGUGAGGGUCUGCAGCAUCACUCCUGAGCCAGCGAGACCACGAACCCACCAGAAGGAAGAAACUCCGAACACAUCCAAACAUCAGAAGGAACAAACUCCAGACGUGCCACCUUAAGAGCUGUAACACUCACCGUGAGGGUCCGCGGCUUCAUUCUUGAAGUCAGUGAGACCAAGAACCCAUCAAUUCCGGACACACUAGGAAGAAGUUUUAUAGAAGACGUCUCCUUCCAUUCUC
This 427-nucleotide long non-coding RNA is filed under the name Homo sapiens (human). Its description in RNAcentral is "HSALNT0315093". The record is from RNAcentral. Lineage: Eukaryota; Metazoa; Chordata; Mammalia; Primates; Hominidae.